This 614-nucleotide ribosomal RNA is filed under the name Anampses twistii (yellowbreasted wrasse). RNAcentral's name for it is "partial small subunit ribosomal RNA". It matches the Rfam family "Bacterial small subunit ribosomal RNA", at positions 543 to 1441 of the family's 1533-position model. Lineage: Eukaryota; Metazoa; Chordata; Actinopteri; Labriformes; Labridae. The record is from RNAcentral.
AGUCGAUGGCCUUCGGCGUAAAGAGUGGUUAAGAUUCGAUAAAUACUAAAGCCAAACGACUUCAAAGCUGUUAUACGCACAUGAAGACAUGAAGCCCAACUACGAAAGUGGCUUUAAAUUUCUGACUCCACGAAAGCUAUGGUACAAACUGGGAUUAGAUACCCCACUAUGCCUAGCCAUAAACAUAGAUAAUCACGUACUUUUUUAUCCGCCCGGGUACUACGAGCAUCAGCUUAAAACCCAAAGGACUUGGCGGUGCUUUAGAUCCACCUAGAGGAGCCUGUUCUAGAACCGAUAAUCCCCGUUAAACCUCACCUUUCCUUGCCUAAUCCGCCUAUAUACCGCCGUCGCCAGCUUACUCUGUGAAGAGUCUGUAGUAAGCACAAUCGGUACAACCCAAAACGUCAGGUCGAGGUGUAGCGUAUGAAAAGGGAAGAAAUGGGCUACAUUCAAUAAUAAUAAUGAACACGAAUAAUGUUUUGAAAGAAACAAUUGAAGGAGGAUUUAGUAGUAAGCAGGGAAUAGAGCGCCCUGCUGAAACCGGCCCUGAAGCGCGCACACACCGCCCGUCACUCUCCCCGAGCUAACACAAGCUAAUCACUAAUAAACAACAA